CCUACGGGCGGCUGCAGUGGGGAAUAUUGCACAAUGGGCGCAAGCCUGAUGCAGCCAUGCCGCGUGUGUGAAGAAGGCCUUCGGGUUGUAAAGCACUUUCAGCGGGGAGGAAGGCGGUGAGGUUAAUAACCUCAUCGAUUGACGUUACCGGCAGAAGAAGCACCGGCUAACUCCGUGCCAGCAGCCGCGGUAAUACGGAGGGUGCAAGCGUUAAUCGGAAUUACUGGGCGUAAAGCGCACGCAGGCGGUCUGUCAAGUCGGAUGUGAAAUCCCCGGGCUCAACCUGGGAACUGCAUUCGAAACUGGCAGGCUAGAGUCUUGUAGAGGGGGGUAGAAUUCCAGGUGUAGCGGUGAAAUGCGUAGAGAUCUGGAGGAAUACCGGUGGCGAAGGCGGCCCCCUGGACAAAGACUGACGCUCAGGUGCGAAAGCGUGGGGAGCAAACAGGAUAGAUACCCGAGUAGUC
RNAcentral lists this ribosomal RNA (464 nucleotides) under uncultured Klebsiella sp. RNAcentral's name for it is "bacterial SSU rRNA". It matches the Rfam family "Bacterial small subunit ribosomal RNA", at positions 338 to 795 of the family's 1533-position model. The record is from RNAcentral. Lineage: Bacteria; Pseudomonadati; Pseudomonadota; Gammaproteobacteria; Enterobacterales; Enterobacteriaceae.